CACACUCCCCUCACCCCCAUCUUCCUCCCUCAAAGCUAAAUGGAUAAGGUACAGGGCAACCUGGAAGCCACAAGAAGGAGCCACAAAAUGGAAGGAACUUGGAUGCCUGAGUCACCAUGUGGAGAAAACACCAACCAGAAAGCUUCAUCUGAUCUUCAUUUGGCUGUGAUAUGAAUCCAGCCUGCUGUUUGUAAUCAACUCUGAAAUCUGUGCGUGGUGGUUGCUGCUUACGUAGGGAGCAUGCCAUGAAGUAGAAGAGCGAAGGUGAAGACUGCUCAGAUGGCAUGGUUUGCUUCUUUCUUCCACACAAGGACUCAGAUUCUGGCUUCAGAAGGGACCAGCACCUUCUUCUCUCCCAGCAGAUUGUCCUCUUAUCCUUGGGUACAGAGGGAGAAUAUGGUCACCGCUCCCCCUCCCAGCCUCUCUCCUAAUACUGGAGGCCAACUAUGGGCCCUGAGCUUCCGAUCAAGUGAAAUUAGACAACUGUCACCAAACUGGUCUGCCUGCUCCCACUGUGCACCACUCCAGCCAAUUCUCCACCAAGCAGCAAGAGUGA
Non-coding RNA from Microcebus murinus (gray mouse lemur), 556 nucleotides. The record is from RefSeq and is a predicted model, not a curated record. Lineage: Eukaryota; Metazoa; Chordata; Mammalia; Primates; Cheirogaleidae.